CUGUGUUAUGAUGAAAGUCUUUAGGACUAUUUUAAAUCGAUAAAGGAGGAUUUAUUAUUUAAUCCUUAAAUGAGUUCAUAUCCAAAUGAUAUGCUAUUACUAGGAUGAUAGACAUAUCAAGUGUAGGUCAUUGUGUGCCAUAUAGGUUGGUUGUCCUCUUAACCAAGCAGCGUAGAGAUGCUGGUAUGGUAUGCAGGUAAAAUAUAGGAGUACAUUUCACUGAAUGU
RNAcentral lists this long non-coding RNA (227 nucleotides) under Elaeis guineensis (African oil palm). RNAcentral's name for it is "long non-coding RNA (EGUI_LNC059008)". Lineage: Eukaryota; Viridiplantae; Streptophyta; Magnoliopsida; Arecales; Arecaceae. The record is from RNAcentral.